AACACCUCAGGCAUCUGAAAUGAUUCUGACCUACAAGCUUAUGCAGAUGAUAUAUCCAUCAUCAUCAAAGCUUUACAGAAAAUCAAAAGCCAAGCAGGAUGCGUGCAAGACAAGAACUUGGAAGCAGAAAAGAACAUGGAAACAACAACAAGAAAGAGAAAACAACAAUGAAGAUCAAGACUCAAAUAAAUAACCAAACAGCUAAAAUUAUAUACUCAGCCAGUAUCAUACUGGAAAUGUACGAACAACCAACGGCUAAGAUUGUAUAAUAGCUGCUAUGUUAUAAUCUUUUUAUAUACAAUUUAUGUCCUUGAAAGUUUCAAGUGACCAAUAAAUCCGCUGUAAGCCUUGUA
Ornithodoros turicata is the source of this 353-nucleotide long non-coding RNA. RefSeq lists it as uncharacterized. NCBI's taxonomy places the organism in Eukaryota, Metazoa, Arthropoda, Arachnida, Ixodida, Argasidae. The record is from RefSeq and is a predicted model, not a curated record. The transcript is spliced from 3 exons.